This 411-nucleotide ribosomal RNA is filed under the name uncultured Gammaproteobacteria bacterium. RNAcentral describes it as "bacterial SSU rRNA". It matches the Rfam family "Bacterial small subunit ribosomal RNA", at positions 9 to 416 of the family's 1533-position model. The record is from RNAcentral. Lineage: Bacteria; Pseudomonadati; Pseudomonadota; Gammaproteobacteria.
GAGUUUGAUCGUGGCUCAGAGUGAACGCUGGCGGCAGGCCUAACACAUGCAAGUCGAACGGCAGCACAGCAGUAGCAAUACUGUGGGUGGCGAGUGGCGGACGGGUGAGGAAUACAUGGGAAUCUACCCUGUCGUGGGGGAUAACGUAGGGAAACUUACGCUAAUACCGCAUACGACCGAGAGGUGAAAGCGGCGGACCGCAAGGCGUCGCGCGAUUGGAUGAGCCCAUGUCGGAUUAGCUAGUUGGCGGGGUAAAGGCCCACCAAGGCGACGAUCCGUAGCUGGUCUGAGAGGAUGAUCAGCCACACUGGAACUGAGACACGGUCCAGACUCCUACGGGAGGCAGCAGUGGGGAAUAUUGGACAAUGGGCGCAAGCCUGAUCCAGCCAUGCCGCGUGAGUGAAGAAGGCC